RNAcentral lists this long non-coding RNA (711 nucleotides) under Numida meleagris (helmeted guineafowl). RNAcentral describes it as "lncRNA (ENSNMEG00000017870.1)". Lineage: Eukaryota; Metazoa; Chordata; Aves; Galliformes; Numididae. The record is from RNAcentral.
AUAAGAUUGUACUGAAUAGAAAGUUUUUCUCAGUGUGCCAUCUGUUUUUCAGCUGCACCUGUGUGACAGGUUGUUAUAUCACCUGAGUGUUAGGUUGGAAAUUCUACACAAACUUUCCUGAAGAGCAGAGAGGGAGACAUAGACUUCACCAGAAGAAACUGUCCUAGGCAGUCCCUGCCCUCCUGCUAUGCCAGUAAGUCUCCAGAAGCCCAGGAGAUACCCAGGAGGUUGUCUGUAGAACACCAUAGAAAUAGUGGAGUGUGUUGGAGAGAACCAUGCUGAACAGCUAAUACCCCAGUGAAUCCACAAGGACUUAGAGUGACUUGACAUGUCAGUGGAAGCUGUCAAACUCCUAUCAAAAGGACAGAUCUCUGUGGGAUUUGUAUUCCUCAUGCCUGCCUUGCAGCCCUACCGAUGGGUCACUUCACUGGAAGGUCUUAUCUAGAGGAGGGGCAUGGUCCAGGCUGGAGCUGGCUCAGAGUGCUUGCAUCAUGGCUCUGCCAGCUGCUGACACACACUGAUAAUAGACUUCUUGUCAAGCAGCAGCUGUUAGAGAGAGAGAUCAGGACUAAUCAAGUGAUCACUCACAGGAGGCGUACAUCAGGAAAAAGCAGGAAGGAGAGAAGAAAGGAAGAAUAAAGUUAAAAGGAAAAAAACAAAUUGUAGUUCUUCUUUACUGCACCUAGUCAGGUAGUAGCAACCAAGUGGUUC